UACUGUACACGGAAGAGACGUUUACAAUAUCAAUUAACAGUUUGAAAUUUAAGUGUCUAUAGAUGAGAUAAUCAAUGAGAUUAGCGGUUUGUGAUUAAAAAGAAUAUGAUUGAAUGUGUCAAUAUUCCUUUCAAUUUAUUAUUUUGGAUUGAUGCAAAUCAAAGACAGACGACCAAUGUGUUAACAACAGACACUUUCCGAUAGGUACGGAUAAUCCUGAAACAAAGGGUGGGCAUUUAGAUUGAUGGGGGAAAUAAUGCAUCCAUCCAACACAAAUGAGUAUGCAAGAGAUCACCAGAACUCAACUUGACCGAAGAAUAAUGAUUAAAAUGAAAUGUUCUUGUGAAACUGCCAAAAAUAAAUAAUGUAUUUUCAAUGUUUUUAACUUGUAUAAAAUGAUGCAUAAAUGUGAUACUUUCAAUAAAUAAAUCAUCUUUUUGUUGAAUAAAAUUCAUGUAAAUUGG
This is a long non-coding RNA of Ruditapes philippinarum (Manila clam), 464 nucleotides long. RefSeq lists it as uncharacterized. Lineage: Eukaryota; Metazoa; Mollusca; Bivalvia; Venerida; Veneridae. The record is from RefSeq and is a predicted model, not a curated record. The transcript has 2 exons.